RNAcentral lists this ribosomal RNA (2639 nucleotides) under Salmonella enterica subsp. enterica serovar Enteritidis. RNAcentral's name for it is "partial 23S ribosomal RNA". It matches the Rfam family "Bacterial large subunit ribosomal RNA". The record is from RNAcentral. Lineage: Bacteria; Pseudomonadati; Pseudomonadota; Gammaproteobacteria; Enterobacterales; Enterobacteriaceae.
CUCGUCACACUAUCAUUAACUGAAUCCAUAGGUUAAUGAGGCGAACCGGGGGAACUGAAACAUCUAAGUACCCCGAGGAAAAGAAAUCAACCGAGAUUCCCCCAGUAGCGGCGAGCGAACGGGGAGGAGCCCAGAGCCUGAAUCAGCAUGUGUGUUAGUGGAAGCGUCUGGAAAGGCGCGCGAUACAGGGUGACAGCCCCGUACACAAAAGCGCAUGUGCUGUGAGCUCGAUGAGUAGGGCGGGACACGUGGUAUCCUGUCUGAAUAUGGGGGGACCAUCCUCCAAGGCUAAAUACUCCUGACUGACCGAUAGUGAACCAGUACCGUGAGGGAAAGGCGAAAAGAACCCCGGCGAGGGGAGUGAAAAAGAACCUGAAACCGUGUACGUACAAGCAGUGGGAGCACCCUUUGGGUGUGACUGCGUACCUUUUGUAUAAUGGGUCAGCGACUUAUAUUCUGUAGCAAGGUUAACCGAAUAGGGGAGCCGGAGGGAAACCGAGUCUUAAUUGGGCGUUAAGUUGCAGGGUAUAGACCCGAAACCCGGUGAUCUAGCCAUGGGCAGGUUGAAGGUUGGGUAACACUAACUGGAGGACCGAACCGACUAAUGUUGAAAAAUUAGCGGAUGACCUGUGGCUGGGGGUGAAAGGCCAAUCAAACCGGGAGAUAGCUGGUUCUCCCCGAAAGCUAUUUAGGUAGCGCCUCGUGAAUUCAUCUCCGGGGGUAGAGCACUGUUUCGGCUAGGGGGCCAUCCCGGCUUACCAACCCGAUGCAAACUGCGAAUACCGGAGAAUGUUAUCACGGGAGACACACGGCGGGUGCUAACGUCCGUCGUGAAGAGGGAAACAACCCAGACCGCCAGCUAAGGUCCCAAAGUCAUGGUUAAGUGGGAAACGAUGUGGGAAGGCCCAGACAGCCAGGAUGUUGGCUUAGAAGCAGCCAUCAUUUAAAGAAAGCGUAAUAGCUCACUGGUCGAGUCGGCCUGCGCGGAAGAUGUAACGGGGCUAAACCAUGCACCGAAGCUGCGGCAGCGACACUGUGUGUUGUUGGGUAGGGGAGCGUUCUGUAAGCCUGUGAAGGUGUGUCGUGAGGCAUGCUGGAGGUAUCAGAAGUGCGAAUGCUGACAUAAGUAACGAUAAAGCGGGUGAAAAGCCCGCUCGCCGGAAGACCAAGGGUUCCUGUCCAACGUUAAUCGGGGCAGGGUGAGUCGACCCCUAAGGCGAGGCCGAAAGGCGUAGUCGAUGGGAAACGGGUUAAUAUUCCCGUACUUGGUGUUACUGCGAAGGGGGGACGGAGAAGGCUAUGUUGGCCGGGCGACGGUUGUCCCGGUUUAAGCGUGUAGGUGUGUGUUCCAGGUAAAUCCGGUUCACUUUAACACUGAGGCGUGACGACGAGGCACUACGGUGCUGAAGCAACAAAUGCCCUGCUUCCAGGAAAAGCCUCUAAGCAUCAGGUAACAUCAAAUCGUACCCCAAACCGACACAGGUGGUCAGGUAGAGAAUACCAAGGCGCUUGAGAGAACUCGGGUGAAGGAACUAGGCAAAAUGGUGCCGUAACUUCGGGAGAAGGCACGCUGACACGUAGGUGAAGUGAUUUACUCAUGGAGCUGAAGUCAGUCGAAGAUACCAGCUGGCUGCAACUGUUUAUUAAAAACACAGCACUGUGCAAACACGAAAGUGGACGUAUACGGUGUGACGCCUGCCCGGUGCCGGAAGGUUAAUUGAUGGGGUCAGCGCAAGCGAAGCUCCUGAUCGAAGCCCCGGUAAACGGCGGCCGUAACUAUAACGGUCCUAAGGUAGCGAAAUUCCUUGUCGGGUAAGUUCCGACCUGCACGAAUGGCGUAAUGAUGGCCAGGCUGUCUCCACCCGAGACUCAGUGAAAUUGAACUCGCUGUGAAGAUGCAGUGUACCCGCGGCAAGACGGAAAGACCCCGUGAACCUUUACUAUAGCUUGACACUGAACAUUGAGCCUUGAUGUGUAGGAUAGGUGGGAGGCUUUGAAGUGUGGACGCCAGUCUGCAUGGAGCCGACCUUGAAAUACCACCCUUUAAUGUUUGAUGUUCUAACGUGGACCCGUUACCCGGGUUGCGGACAGUGUCUGGUGGGUAGUUUGACUGGGGCGGUCUCCUCCUAAAGAGUAACGGAGGAGCACGAAGGUUGGCUAAUCCUGGUCGGACAUCAGGAGGUUAGUGCAAUGGCAUAAGCCAGCUUGACUGCGAGCGUGACGGCGCGAGCAGGUGCGAAAGCAGGUCAUAGUGAUCCGGUGGUUCUGAAUGGAAGGGCCAUCGCUCAACGGAUAAAAGGUACUCCGGGGAUAACAGGCUGAUACCGCCCAAGAGUUCAUAUCGACGGCGGUGUUUGGCACCUCGAUGUCGGCUCAUCACAUCCUGGGGCUGAAGUAGGUCCCAAGGGUAUGGCUGUUCGCCAUUUAAAGUGGUACGCGAGCUGGGUUUAGAACGUCGUGAGACAGUUCGGUCCCUAUCUGCCGUGGGCGCUGGAGAACUGAGGGGGGCUGCUCCUAGUACGAGAGGACCGGAGUGGACGCAUCACUGGUGUUCGGGUUGUCAUGCCAAUGGCACUGCCCGGUAGCUAAAUGCGGAAGAGAUAAGUGCUGAAAGCAUCUAAGCACGAAACUUGCCCCGA